GACGAACGCUGGCGGCGUGCUUAACACAUGCGAGUCGAACGGAAAGGCCCUGCUUUUGUGGGGUGCUCGAGUGGCGAACGGGUGAGUAACACGUGAGUAACCUGCCCUUGACUUUGGGAUAACUUCAGGAAACUGGGGCUAAUACCGGAUAGGAGCUCCUGCUGCAUGGUGGGGGUUGGAAAGUUUCGGCGGUUGGGGAUGGACUCGCGGCUUAUCAGCUUGUUGGUGGGGUAGUGGCUUACCAAGGCUUUGACGGGUAGCCGGCCUGAGAGGGUGACCGGCCACAUUGGGACUGAGAUACGGCCCAGACUGCUACGGGAGGCAGCAGUGGGGAAUAUUGCACAAUGGGCGGAAGCCUGAUGCAGAAACGCCGCGUGCGGGAUGACGGCCUUCGGGUUGUAAACCGCUUUCGCCUGUGACGAAGCGUGAGUGACGGUAAUGGGUAAAGAAGCACCGGCUAACUACGUG
This 468-nucleotide ribosomal RNA is filed under the name uncultured bacterium. RNAcentral describes it as "partial 16S ribosomal RNA". It matches the Rfam family "Bacterial small subunit ribosomal RNA", at positions 28 to 507 of the family's 1533-position model. The record is from RNAcentral.